Erpetoichthys calabaricus (reedfish) is the source of this 442-nucleotide long non-coding RNA. RefSeq lists it as uncharacterized. The transcript is spliced from 3 exons. NCBI's taxonomy places the organism in Eukaryota, Metazoa, Chordata, Cladistia, Polypteriformes, Polypteridae. The record is from RefSeq and is a predicted model, not a curated record.
AGAACGCUGUAGAGAAUAGGAGCAUAUUGAAUUUUUCUCCUGGCAGAAGAAUAUUUUUCACUUCUUGAAAAAAUGAAGACUUUUCAAUUUUACAACGACUUGAAAGAAUUUCUUUUACGGGAAGAAUUUAGCAACAAUUUAACGGUCAGAGAGCGAAGUGAAAUACAACGUGUGUCCGUGAAUUUUAUGAUUAAAGUCCAUCAUCCAUGCCCUGGCUGCUCUACAGGGUGUAUCAGGACAGGAGGCAGAAGACUUAUUUCUUGGUGGCCCAGAAUACAGUAUCAGUGAAGUGGAAGAAUUUAACUGAAAGAUAGGGCAGCAAUUAAAGAAGGAGGGAAUGCUGUGAUAUCUGUUAGAAUAGAAGAUGAUGCUACUGCCCAGUGCUUCCAGAAUCCUUCAUUUGAGUCUUGGGUCUGAAUCUACUGCGUCAUUGCCAAGUAUU